This 497-nucleotide ribosomal RNA is filed under the name uncultured bacterium. RNAcentral describes it as "partial 16S ribosomal RNA". It matches the Rfam family "Bacterial small subunit ribosomal RNA", at positions 28 to 507 of the family's 1533-position model. The record is from RNAcentral.
GAUGAAAGAGGGAGGCGUGCCUAAUACACGCAAGUCGAGCGAACAGACGAGGAGCUUGCUCCUCUGACGUUAGCGGCGGACGGGUGAGUAACACGUGGAUAACCUACCUAUAAGACUGGGAUAACUUCGGGAAACCGGAGCUAAUACCGGAUAAUAUAUUGAACCGCAUGGUUCAAUAGUGAAAGACGGUUUUGCUGUCACUUAUAGAUGGAUCCGCGCCGCAUUAGCUAGUUGGUAAGGUAACGGCUUACCAAGGCAACGAUGCGUAGCCGACCUGAGAGGGUGAUCGGCCACACUGGAACUGAGACACGGUCCAGACUCCUACGGGAGGCAGCAGUAGGGAAUCUUCCGCAAUGGGCGAAAGCCUGACGGAGCAACGCCGCGUGAGUGAUGAAGGUCUUCGGAUCGUAAAACUCUGUUAUUAGGGAAGAACAAAUGUGUAAGUAACUAUGCACGUCUUGACGGUACCUAAUCAGAAAGCCACGGCUAACUACGUG